Molecule: ribosomal RNA, 468 nt
Filed under: uncultured bacterium
Lineage: Bacteria
Description: partial 16S ribosomal RNA
Rfam family: Bacterial small subunit ribosomal RNA
Source: RNAcentral
GACGAACGCUGGCGGCGUGCUUAACACAUGCAAGUCGAACGGAAAGGCCCUGCUUUUGUGGGGUGCUCGAGUGGCGAACGGGUGAGUAACACGUGAGUAACCUGCCCUUGACUUUGGGAUAACUUCAGGAAACUGGGGUUAAUACCGGAUAGGAGCUCCUGCUGCAUGGUGGGGGUUGGAAAGUUUCGGCGGUUGGGGAUGGACUCGCGGCUUAUCAGCUUGUUGGUGGGGUAGUGGCUUACCAAGGCUUUGACGGGUAGCCGGCCUGAGAGGGUGACCGGCCACAUUGGGACUGAGGUACGGCCCAGACUCCUACGGGAGGCAGCAGUGGGGAAUAUUGCACAAUGGGCGGAAGCCUGAUGCAGCAACGCCGCGUGCGGGAUGACGGCCGUCGGGUUGUAAACCGCUUUCGCCUGUGACGAAGCGUGAGUGACGGUAAUGGGUAAAGAAGCACCGGCUAACUACGUG